UACGUAGGGCGCAAGCGUUAUCCGGAAUUAUUGGGCGUAAAGAGCUCGUAGGCGGUUUGUCGCGUCUGCCGUGAAAGUCCGGGGCUCAACUCCGGAUCUGCGGUGGGUACGGGCAGACUAGAGUGAUGUAGGGGAGACUGGAAUUCCUGGUGUAGCGGUGAAAUGCGCAGAUAUCAGGAGGAACACCGGUGGCGAAGGCGGGUCUCUGGGGCCGAUACUGACGCUGAGGAGCGAAAGCGUGGGGGAGCGAACAGG
Molecule: ribosomal RNA, 255 nt
Filed under: uncultured bacterium
Lineage: Bacteria
Description: partial 16S ribosomal RNA
Rfam family: Bacterial small subunit ribosomal RNA
Source: RNAcentral